RNAcentral lists this transfer RNA (66 nucleotides) under Miniopterus natalensis. RNAcentral's name for it is "tRNA-Pro". The record is from RNAcentral. Lineage: Eukaryota; Metazoa; Chordata; Mammalia; Chiroptera; Miniopteridae.
UGCAAGGAGUAGUUUAAGUAGAAUUUCAGCUUUGGGUGCUGACGGUAGGGCUCAUGCUCUCUCCUU